Molecule: ribosomal RNA, 460 nt
Filed under: uncultured bacterium
Lineage: Bacteria
Description: partial 16S ribosomal RNA
Rfam family: Bacterial small subunit ribosomal RNA
Source: RNAcentral
CCUACGGGAGGCAGCAGUGAGGAAUAUUGGUCAAUGGACGAGAGUCUGAACCAGCCAAGUAGCGUGAAGGAUGACUGCCCUAUGGGUUGUAAACUUCUUUUAUAUGGGAAUAAAAUGUUCCACGUGUGGGAUUUUGUAUGUACCAUAUGAAUACGGAUCGGCUAACUCCGUGCCAGCAGCCGCGGUAAUACGGAGGAUCCGAGCGUUAUCCGGAUUUAUUGGGUUUAAAGGGAGCGUAGGUGGAUUGUUAAGUCAGUUGUGAAAGUUUGCGGCUAAACCGUAAAAUUGCAGUUGAAACUGGCAGUCUUGAGUACAGUAGAGGUGGGCGGAAGUCGUGGUGUAGCGGUGAAAUGCUUAGAUAUCACGAAGAACUCCGAUUGCGAAGGCAGUUCACUGGACUGCAACUGACACUGAGGCUCGAAAGUGUGGGUAUCAAACAGGAUUAGAUACCCCAGUAGUC